AACCCGUUACCAACUGGUGACAAAACUUGAACGACCUGCAAACACUGAUAAACUCAACCAAGCGAACCCUUAAAUCAUGGAAAUCUCUCUCUCUCCAUCUUAUCUCUGAAAUUGUUGUUGAAUUUUGGUUAAAGAUUAUGUGUCGUCACCUCAAAAUCUAAUCAGAAUCAGAAUCUGUCAAUUUGAAUCUGAAUUUUGGGGAACUUGUUUUCUCUUUACUGGUCUAUUGCUGCUCCUCUCCAACAUUUAUUUUUUGAAUUAAAACCAAUAUUUCUCCUAUAAAUAGACAUUGGGGGACUCAGCGGCAAAGAGAGGAUUUUAGGUGAAAAAAUUGAAGAUUAUGGAGGCGCACGCUUCUAAUCUUGCAUAACCAAAAUUCUCAAAGAGCACUCAAAAGAUCAAAAUUCAAUGACCUCGUUCAAACUCCAUCGGCCAGAAUAGAGACUAGGUGGUGAAAACUUCAUCGUUAUAAGUUCGUUUGUCCCGGUAUCGCUGCCCCAAAAUAGGUAAUGCUACUGUUGUUUCUGUUCUUUUUUCUUGAUUUUAAUAGGCAAUUUGAGAAAUAGAUACUGAGAAUGUUUAUAUUGACUUGGAGUUAUCUGAUUGUUCUUUAAGAUGUGUAUAAAUCGAUUGAAAUAUAUUCCUGUCCAUAUUACAUACUGUGUGUUGAAAUUUGCUGAUCUCACGUUAUUAACUAUGUUACAAUUAUCUUAACAUGAACACCAUAUAGUAUUUGUCAUUCCGUGCUUUUUCUUCACUCCUAAAAACUCAUGGAUUCUAUCACUCCUUCCUAUUGUCGUGUUUUCUAUUUUCUGUCGUACUGGUACUGCAUAAGGGCUUCACUUAAUUCUGUCUGAUUUUGAUUAAAAUUUUAUAUAAACCACGUAAUAGUAUUGGUUUUAAUAUGAUGUCCAUCUUUGAUCUUCAUAUCAUAUUUUGACGAAAAGGAAAAAAAUAGUUUAAGAUUAGCUAUGCAUUUUUGCGUAUCGAUUUUCCUAAAUUAUAGCUUAAUGCUUACGUGAACAUUGUCCCAUUUUUGAGAGAAAUCUAGUCUUAUCCCUAGUUUUGCCUCUUUUUAUUUUGAGCUAUUAUGUUUAUUUUGGAAUCUCUUUGUUGGAAUUUUUUCUUAGAAAAUGAAUGUUGUCUCUUGUGUAUUGCAUGCAUAUCAAUGCUUUAUGCACUUUAAACAUCCAAUUAUGUUUGAGAACCAAAUUCUUAAUUCAUCUUGUCUUUCAAGUGCAAUUUGUAUAAAAGAAUAUGUUGCGCUUUAAAAAAAUAGGGCUCACUUAAUUGUUCCACAUGCUUUCUCUAUUUUAAAGGUUUUGUGACUAUUUCCUUCUCGGCUAUACGUAAUAUGAUCACAUCUCAUGUGAAUAAUCUAAUUCAAAGACUAAUUGCCUUCUCUGUAUCGCAUGUAAACCUCCUUGGCUAAGUCAACGGGACUCCAAUCCUUGCAUUUCUCCGGGCAAAGCCCAUUUUUUUGAGCCAAAAAUGGAUUAGUAUAUAAGAUUAGCUGCUGGUAUACACUGGUAUACAAAAAAUAUACAGGAUUUACAGGUCGCAAGUGGCUGGUAUAUGCUUAUACAUGGUUCCUAACAAAGCUAGACACAAGUAUAUUGGUUCUUGUACACUGAUAUACUACGUAUAUACAGGAAAAUGUAGAAAGCAGGGCUAGAAUACAUGUGGUAUACAGUACAGGAAAUGGGCUAGAAAUCCAUGGGAUUUUUUCCUAAUGGGCCAGCAGGGGCCCAAAUCUUAAACUUUUGCUCCUUUUUUUCUUGUACUUAUUUAUGUUGCUUGUAAUUUGUACUAACUUUUAUUUAGUAGCCGUUUGGCCAUGAAAAUUAAAAUUUUCC
This 1856-nucleotide long non-coding RNA is filed under the name Capsicum annuum. Its description in RNAcentral is "long non-coding RNA (CANN_LNC008493)". The record is from RNAcentral. Lineage: Eukaryota; Viridiplantae; Streptophyta; Magnoliopsida; Solanales; Solanaceae.